GAUGAAGAACGCAGCGAAAUGCGAUAAGUAAUGUGAAUUGCAGAAUUCAGUGAAUCAUCGAAUCUUUGAACGCACAUUGCGCCCUCUGGUAUUCCGGGGGGCAUGCCUGUUCGAGCGUCAUUAUAACCACUCAAGCUCUCGCUUGGUAUUGGGGUUCGCGGUUUCGCGGCCCCUAAAAUCAGUGGCGGUGCCUGUCGGCUCUACGCGUAGUAAUACUCCUCGCGAUUGAGUCCGGUAGGUCUACUUGCCAGCAACCCCUAAUUUUUUUAAGGUUGACCUCGGAUCUGGUAGGGAUACCCGCUGAACUUAAGCAUAUCAAUAAGCGGAGGA
Molecule: unclassified non-coding RNA, 330 nt
Filed under: soil metagenome
Description: partial contains 5.8S ribosomal RNA, internal transcribed spacer 2, and large subunit ribosomal RNA
Rfam family: 5.8S ribosomal RNA (bases 1-120)
Source: RNAcentral